Molecule: microRNA precursor, 72 nt
Filed under: Medicago truncatula (barrel medic)
Lineage: Eukaryota; Viridiplantae; Streptophyta; Magnoliopsida; Fabales; Fabaceae
Description: MIR2629 microRNA precursor family
Rfam family: MIR2629 microRNA precursor family
Source: Rfam by way of RNAcentral
CUUAUAACAGAUCAUCGGCAGUUAACUGCAGCCGGUUUCUUCAGAAUUCGGUAGUUAACUGCCGAGGGAUAU